Molecule: ribosomal RNA, 490 nt
Filed under: uncultured bacterium
Lineage: Bacteria
Description: bacterial SSU rRNA
Rfam family: Bacterial small subunit ribosomal RNA
Source: RNAcentral
AUGAACGCUAGCGGCAGGCUUAACACNUGCAAGUCGAGGGCAGCAUGAGACAGAGAUUCGUCGAAGUCUUGAUGGCGACCGGCGCAAGGGUGCGUAACGCGUGAGCAACUUGCCCGUUUCAGGGGAUAACCGGUUGGAAACGACGACUAAUACCCCAUGGCAUCAUAAGGAGGCAUCUCCAUAUGAUUAAAGAAUUUCGGAAACGGAUAGGCUCGCGUGACAUUAGAUAGAUGGCGGGGUAACGGCCCACCAUGUCUACGAUGUCUAGGGGUUCUGAGAGGAAGGUCCCCCACACUGGAACUGAGACACGGUCCAGACUCCUACGGGAGGCAGCAGUGAGGAAUAUUGGUCAAUGGUCGAAGGACUGAACCAGCCAUGCCGCGUGAAGGUGACGGCCCUAUGGGUCUUAAACUUCUUUUGCAAGGGAGCAAUAAGGUCUACGUGUAGACCGAUGAGAGUACCUUGCGAAUAAGCAUCGGCUAACUCCGUG